This 542-nucleotide ribosomal RNA is filed under the name uncultured bacterium. RNAcentral describes it as "bacterial SSU rRNA". It matches the Rfam family "Bacterial small subunit ribosomal RNA", at positions 777 to 1319 of the family's 1533-position model. The record is from RNAcentral.
AAUAGAUACCCCGGUAGUCCAUGCCGUAAACGUUGGGCACUAGGUGUGGGGUCCAUUCCACGGAUUCCGUGCCGCAGCUAACGCAUUAAGUGCCCCGCCUGGGGAGUACGGCCGCAAGGCUAAAACUCAAAGAAAUUGACGGGGGCCCGCACAAGCGGCGGAGCAUGCGGAUUAAUUCGAUGCAACGCGAAGAACCUUACCAAGGCUUGACAUACACCGGAAAAGUGCAGAGAUGUGCUCCCCGCAAGGUCGGUGUACAGGUGGUGCAUGGUUGUCGUCAGCUCGUGUCGUGAGAUGUUGGGUUAAGUCCCGCAACGAGCGCAACCCUCGUCCCAUGUUGCCAGCGGGUUAUGCCGGGGACUCAUGGGGAGACUGCCGGGGUCAACUCGGAGGAAGGUGGGGAUGACGUCAAAUCAUCAUGCCCCUUAUGUCUUGGGCUUCACGCAUGCUACAAUGGCCGGUACAAAGGGCUGCGAUACCGUAAGGUGGAGCGAAUCCCAAAAGCCGGUCUCAGUUCGGAUUGGGGUCUGCAACUCGACCCC